RNAcentral lists this long non-coding RNA (397 nucleotides) under Setaria italica (foxtail millet). RNAcentral describes it as "long non-coding RNA (SITA_LNC004888)". Lineage: Eukaryota; Viridiplantae; Streptophyta; Magnoliopsida; Poales; Poaceae. The record is from RNAcentral.
CCGGCCCCAAGUGUUCAACCGGUUCUUGUAGCAAAGAAGCGUUGCCGAGUUCCUCCCCGGUCCGCCUAGUGAGUACUCUGUUGCAUUUGUAUUUGAUCAUUGAUUUCGUAAUCAAUAGUUUCUUUUGUGAUCGUGACACUUGUUUGAAUUAGGACUUCUGAGAGUGCUGUUCUUGAAGGGGUAAGCACAGAGCCAACUGAAGAUCCAUUGGCCACGAACUCUGAUGCCGUACCUGUUGUCAAUAUGACAACUGAAGAUCCACCACGAGCUGAAGGCGCGGGUGCGGUGAGUCUCACGACCGCCAUACUGUGAGAUGUGAUCAGUUCGGUUGAGGAUCUGGUGCCGCUAGCCCCUGAGGUUGUAAAUGACAAUCCUCUCCCCGCGACCAAGACCGCCG